RNAcentral lists this ribosomal RNA (468 nucleotides) under uncultured bacterium. RNAcentral describes it as "partial 16S ribosomal RNA". It matches the Rfam family "Bacterial small subunit ribosomal RNA", at positions 28 to 507 of the family's 1533-position model. The record is from RNAcentral.
GAUGAACGCUGGCGGCGUGCUUAACACAUGCAAGUCGAACGGAAAGGCCCAAGCUUGCUUGGGUACUCGAGUGGCGAACGGGUGAGUAACACGUGGGUGAUCUGCCCUGCACUUCGUGAUAAGCCUGGGAAACUGGGUCUAAUACCGGAUAGGACGAUGGUUUGGAUGCCAUUGUGGAAAGUUUUUUCGGUGUGGGAUGAGCUCGCGGCCUAUCAGCUUGUUGGUGGGGUAAUGGCCUACCAAGGCGUCGACGGGUAGCCGGCCUGAGAGGGUGUACGGCCACAUUGGGACUGAGAUACGGCCCAGACUCCUACGGGAGGCAGCAGUGGGGAAUAUUGCACAAUGGGCGCAAGCCUGAUGCAGCGACGCCGCGUGGGGGAUGACGGCCUUCGGGUUGUAAACUCCUUUCGCUAGGGACGAAGCGUUUUUGUGACGGUACCUGGAGAAGAAGCACCGGCUAACUACGUG